AACGAACGCUGGCGGCAUGCCUAACACAUGCAAGUCGAACGAGACCUUCGGGUCUAGUGGCGCACGGGUGCGUAACGCGUGGGAACCUGCCCUUAGGUUCGGAAUAACUCCCCGAAAGGGGUGCUAAUACCGGAUAAUGUCUUCGGACCAAAGAUUUAUCGCCUUUGGAUGGGCCCGCGUUGGAUUAGCUAGUUGGCAGGGUAAAAGCCUACCAAGGCGACGAUCCAUAGCUGGUCUGGGAGGAUGAUCAGCCACACUGGGACUGAGACACGGCCCAGACUCCUACGGGAGGCAGCAGUGGGGAAUAUUGGACAAUGGGCGAAAGCCUGAUCCAGCAAUGCCGCGUGAGUGAUGAAGGCCUUAGGGUUGUAAAGCUCUUUUACCCGGGAUGAUAAUGACAGUACCGGGAGAAUAAGCUCCGGCUAACUCCGUG
RNAcentral lists this ribosomal RNA (433 nucleotides) under uncultured bacterium. RNAcentral describes it as "partial 16S ribosomal RNA". It matches the Rfam family "Bacterial small subunit ribosomal RNA", at positions 29 to 507 of the family's 1533-position model. The record is from RNAcentral.